RNAcentral lists this ribosomal RNA (253 nucleotides) under uncultured bacterium. RNAcentral's name for it is "partial 16S ribosomal RNA". It matches the Rfam family "Bacterial small subunit ribosomal RNA", at positions 524 to 776 of the family's 1533-position model. The record is from RNAcentral.
UACGUAGGGGGCAAGCGUUAUCCGGAUUCACUGGGUGUAAAGGGAGCGUAGACGGCCAUGCAAGCCUGGAGUGAAAGCCCGGGGCCCAACCCCGGGACUGCUCUGGGAACUGUGCGGCUGGAGUGCGGGAGGGGCAGGCGGAAUUCCUGGUGUAGCGGUGAAAUGCGUAGAUAUCAGGAGGAACACCAGUGGCGAAGGCGGCUUACUGGACUGUAACUGACGUUGAGGCUCGAAAGCGUGGGGAGCAAACAGG